Molecule: transfer RNA, 82 nt
Filed under: Acidobacteriota bacterium
Lineage: Bacteria; Pseudomonadati; Acidobacteriota
Description: tRNA-Ser
Rfam family: tRNA
About the family: Transfer RNA (tRNA) molecules are approximately 80 nucleotides in length. Their secondary structure includes four short double-helical elements and three loops (D, anti-codon, and T loops).
Source: RNAcentral
GGAGAGAUGGCGAAACGGUAGCCGCAGCGGUUUGCUAAACCGUCGGGAAAUUCCCUUGCAGGUUCAACUCCUGUUCUCUCCG